CAUUUUCAAGCGGAUAUGUGUGAGGGCCAUACCCACCCUGGCUACUUGUACUUCGUGACACCACAGAUGGGCAGGCGCGGGUGGUGUGGCGCGGCCAUGAGUGAGGGAGCGGGUGUCAUGUGAGGGAAAAAUGUGUAAAUUGAGUUAUGGCGCCGCAACAACAAGGUCAGGUGGCGCCGGCUGGGGUUAUGUGAGAACCCUUGCGAGCCCUUAAUGGAACCCUUACCACGACCACCACCACCGCCACCACCAUCACCGCCACCGUCACUGCCGCUAACCGUCAUUGCCCGAGGGAAAAGACCGUGCGCACUACCUUAUCAUAAGCGCGCAAUGAGACAUCGAGACACAGGGCAGCGCAGAACAGAGGAGACAUGAUGAUUGUUUUCUACCUUCACCUGCGCGAUGUUGCUCUAUCUCCUGCGUCUCAGUGUGUCCAUUUAUAUACCGUCCCAAAACAACCCUUCCUUUCACCCUAAGUAUUGCCCUCUAUUCAUUAACUCUGACUGGUGUUGUUUCCAAGCUUAGCGAAAAGACCUAGUGAAGUUUGGGAUAUAUUUUUGAGAUUUAACUCGAAGGAAAGACUUGAAUAUUUAGCGAAACUUUCUAGACCACACCCUUUCAUAUUUUCCUGUUCCCCAUCCAUUAACUGUGACUGAUGUGGCUUCCAAGCUUAGCGGAAAGACCUAGUGAGGUUUGGAAUAUAUUUUUGAAAGUUAACUCGAAGGAAAGGACUUGAAUAUUUGGCAAGACUUUUUUAAACCUUUUCAUAUUCCCCUCCUUUUUAUCCGAAGCGUGCGGGACAGAUGAAAAUAAAUAAGUAAAGUGAAAUAAACAAGAGUCAUCAGCAUACAAAAGAUUAAGUUCCCAGUGUCCAAGCUCCACCCUGACCUGGCUGGAGUGACCCCUGACCUCCCCGACCUGCUCUCCCCGUUCCCUCGCUAGCCUUGACCUCCUUCGCACCAGCCGUGACCUCUUACCUUCAGGAAGACGCGAAUGCAACCUCUGAUAUUCCUCCCCCUCCUCCUCCCACGCCUCCUGCAGUAUCUCCCACCCUCCCUCCCACCUCCCACGCCACCCACGACUCCCCUUUCUCUCCCUCUUGCCUCCCACACGUCCAGUCCC
Molecule: long non-coding RNA, 1122 nt
Organism: Portunus trituberculatus (swimming crab)
Lineage: Eukaryota; Metazoa; Arthropoda; Malacostraca; Decapoda; Portunidae
Exons: 3
Source: RefSeq, a predicted model, not a curated record